UUUUUGGAGAGUUUGAUCCUGGCUCAGGACGAACGCUGGCGGCGUGCCUAAUACAUGCAAGUCGAGCGCAGGAAGCGGGCAGAUCCCUUCGGGGUGAUGCCUGCCGAA
Molecule: ribosomal RNA, 108 nt
Filed under: Sporolactobacillus sp. THM7-4
Lineage: Bacteria; Bacillati; Bacillota; Bacilli; Caryophanales; Sporolactobacillaceae
Description: partial 16S ribosomal RNA
Rfam family: Bacterial small subunit ribosomal RNA
Source: RNAcentral